GCUAUCCUAUUCUCAGGGCUGUGUAUACUGUCCAGUGAGCAUGUAGUAAGGGCAGUGCUGACAAUGCCCACAUAAUAUGCCCAUAUCAACUACAGCUUUGCUUUGCCUUGGUGCAAUUUUUAGAAAA
RNAcentral lists this non-coding RNA (127 nucleotides) under Microcebus murinus (gray mouse lemur). RNAcentral's name for it is "U4atac minor spliceosomal RNA (ENSMICG00000026543.2)". It matches the Rfam family "U4atac minor spliceosomal RNA". From Rfam's summary of the family: U4atac is an essential component of the minor U12-type spliceosome complex which is required for removal of the rarer class of eukaryotic introns (AT-AC, U12-type). These interacting stem loops have been shown to be required for in vivo splicing. U4atac also contains an 3' Sm protein binding site which has been shown to be essential for splicing activity. The record is from Rfam by way of RNAcentral. Lineage: Eukaryota; Metazoa; Chordata; Mammalia; Primates; Cheirogaleidae.